GAUGAACGCUGGCGGCGUGCCUAAUACAUGCAAGUCGAGCGAACGGACGAGAAGCUUGCUUCUCUGAUGUUAGCGGCGGACGGGUGAGUAACACGUGGAUAACCUACCUAUAAGACUGGGAUAACUUCGGGAAACCGUAGCUAAUACCGGAUAAUAUUUUGAACCGCAUGGUUCAAAAGUGAAAGACGGUCUUGCUGUCACUUAUAGAUGGAUCCGCGCUGCAUUAGCUAGUUGGUAAGGUAACGGCUUACCAAGGCAACGAUGCAUAGCCGACCUGAGAGGGUGAUCGGCCACACUGGAACUGAGACACGGUCCAGACUCCUACGGGAGGCAGCAGUAGGGAGUCUUCCGCAAUGGGCGAAAGCCUGACGGAGCAACGCCGCGUGAGUGAUGAAGGUCUUCGGAUCGUAAAACUCUGUUAUUAGGGAAGAACAUAUGUGUAAGUAACUGUGCACAUCUUGACGGUACCUAAUCAGAAAGCCACGGCUAACUACGUG
Molecule: ribosomal RNA, 497 nt
Filed under: uncultured bacterium
Lineage: Bacteria
Description: partial 16S ribosomal RNA
Rfam family: Bacterial small subunit ribosomal RNA
Source: RNAcentral